RNAcentral lists this small RNA (1027 nucleotides) under Vigna angularis var. angularis. Its description in RNAcentral is "Non-protein coding transcript". The record is from RNAcentral. Lineage: Eukaryota; Viridiplantae; Streptophyta; Magnoliopsida; Fabales; Fabaceae.
CUUUCCUUCUCAUCUCUUUUGCUCUGAGCUUUCCCUCUCAUCUCUUUCGCUCUGAGCUUUCCCUCUCUUCUCUUUCCCUCUCGAUCACAAACCAUCGUCACAUGUUUUUCGUUAAUGAGGUUUCGAGAAAGGGAAUGGGAUCGCGGUGCCGUUGAGGGCCCUCGUGCUCCGGUCUAACCGAGGGUUUGGAUCGACGGCCGUUGCAUAGUGCUACUACAAGGAUGACGAGAAGAGGAGUGUGCGACACACGGCAUGCUUGACACACAGGGUUGCAAGCCGAAGCGUGGAGUGUAGUGGGUGAUGAUAGGGAAGCCUGGAGCUGGGAGGAACCUCUUAGCGUAGAGGCUCUCGAAGGUUCUAGAAGUUCCUCACAUUUCCAUGGCUAUGCUCUUCAGCCAGAACCUCAACCCUUGCUCCUACCUCUAUCACCAACGAGCAAAUGCCUUAGAUCAUGGAAAACUUGUCCCAGAGGAAAAUACUCUUUUAUGACCAUCACGCUUCGUUCUUUUUGCACUCACGGUCACGCUAACAAAGUUCCUUCAUCUAGUAAGUAAUCCCUUUCUUCUUUGAUUCAUAAAUCCCUAAAAUUGCAAAACUCGAAAACCCUAAUUUGCUUCUUCUUUCUUCCUAUUUCACGUAACGAUAUGUGGUGUAGUUCGGAAGACGUUGUUCCAUUGUUACCAGAUAUCGAUUGAGGCGAGGGUGUUGCAUUUUGAAAACAUUCGAAGUGGUAGUAAGGUCUUAAUGGAUUAAUUAGGGGCAUUCAGGAGCCUAACUUUGUGCAAUUGACCAAGUCGAUGGAUUCAUCCUUAUUUGCAAACACGAUAUGCAGGCUAUAUACAGGGAGAAUAUCAAAUAAAAGUAACUAAAAGUGCCCUGGCCUUGUUGCUAACCAGCAGGAUAUUACUUCUAGCUCUUUUGAUUGCAAAAUUGGCUUUCUUAUGGAAAUCUCAUCUAUCAGAGAAUUACCUGAUAUGGUAAGAAUUAUGAAUAACUCAUGUAAAUAAUGAUAUUUGAAUAUGAGAAU